This 497-nucleotide ribosomal RNA is filed under the name uncultured bacterium. RNAcentral describes it as "partial 16S ribosomal RNA". It matches the Rfam family "Bacterial small subunit ribosomal RNA", at positions 28 to 507 of the family's 1533-position model. The record is from RNAcentral.
GACGAACGCUGGCGGCGUGCUUAAUACAUGCAAGUAGAACGCUGAAGAGAGGAGCUUGCUCUUCUUGGAUGAGUUGCGAACGGGUGAGUAACGCGUAGGUAACCUGCCUUGUAGCGGGGGAUAACUAUUGGAAACGAUAGCUAAUACCGCAUAACAAUGGAUGACCCAUGUCAUUUAUUUGAAAGGGGCAAAUGCUCCACUACAAGAUGGACCUGCGUUGUAUUAGCUAGUAGGUGAGGUAACGGCUCACCUAGGCGACGAUACAUAGCCGACCUGAGAGGGUGAUCGGCCACACUGGGACUGAGACACGGCCCAGACUCCUACGGGAGGCAGCAGUAGGGAAUCUUCGGCAAUGGGGGCAACCCUGACCGAGCAACGCCGCGUGAGUGAAGAAGGUUUUCGGAUCGUAAAGCUCUGUUGUAAGUCAAGAACGAGUGUGAGAGUGGAAAGUUCACACUGUGACGGUAGCUUACCAGAAAGAGACGGCUAACUACGUG